GGCGCAUGGCCUGGGCGCCAUCGACGCGCUCGAUCUCGCACGCCGGGCCAUGGGCCUCGUACGAGGUGGCCGCGCGUUCGGCUUAUGCGCGCGCCA
RNAcentral lists this transfer RNA (96 nucleotides) under Bordetella pertussis. Its description in RNAcentral is "tRNA-Ala(cgc)". Lineage: Bacteria; Pseudomonadati; Pseudomonadota; Betaproteobacteria; Burkholderiales; Alcaligenaceae. The record is from RNAcentral.